Molecule: long non-coding RNA, 1222 nt
Filed under: Homo sapiens (human)
Lineage: Eukaryota; Metazoa; Chordata; Mammalia; Primates; Hominidae
Description: HSALNT0287972
Source: RNAcentral
AUUUCUUUCCUUAUCUCAGGUGGGAAGCACACAGAGUUGGCUGAUUACCCAAAGAGAGUUCAGAGUCCUUGAUUAGACUCAUCCGCUCUUAGAUUUUGAAGAAAAUAUUUUAAUGAAGAAAUCAUAGAUGGUAUUUAAAAAGAAUUGAUGCUGUUUUUGCAGUGCUUAUACUGAGGUUCAGUUUGAUUUUCAUCGUAAAACAAAGUUGGUACACCAACUAGGACUUAGUUGGCAGUAUGAAGAAGCAAGAAAGAGAUGGCACCUUCUUUCUGUGUAUCCACAUGGUAAACGGCAAAUGAUCACCCUGAGGCCUGUUUCAUAAGGACAAGAAUUCUAUUAAUGAGAUCUUCACAGUCAUGAACUAAUUCCCUCCCAUGGAUCCCACCUCUCCAUACCAAUGCCUUGGAGUUGAGAGUUCCAAUGUAUGAAAUUUGGGGGAAAAAACCAUUCAGUCUAUAGCACAGCAAUAUAUGUUUGCUUUGUUUUAUUGUGAAUCAGGAAACUAAAAAUACAAAGAAUACGCAAUAGAGCCAAAGUCUGUAACAUACUGUUACAAAUAUACAUACUGUUUGUUUUGGUUUGGAGGCAUGUCUGAAGAUCACAUGGAAGGAAGGGUUAGCUCAGUCACGGUAGCUUGAAACCAAUAUUGCCUGCCUAUUUCUUCCUUCAUAGCCUGUGCAUGGGAGGUGAGUAUGUUUGUGGACAUUGUCAUUGAAUAUAGUUUAGGCCUUUAUUGAAUCCAGAGGCUUAAUUCUUUAAUGUAGUUUUCAUUUCCAGAGCCAGCAGAAUCUAAUUUAACCCAGUGAUUCUCAAAUGAGGCAACACUAGGCAAUGUCUGGAGGCAGUUUUUGAUGUCACAAUGGAAUGUGGUGCUACCGACAUCUAGUGGAUAGAGGCCGAGGAUGCCACUGAACAUCCUACAAUUCAGAGUGGUCCCUGCAACAGAUAAUUAUCUGGUCCCUAAUGUCAAUAAUGCCGAAGAUAAUAAGCCCUGUGUUGGAUGUUCAUAAAUAACCAAAUGAACAGUUCUAUUUAUUCUGCUUUAUUUAUGUCCUCCUGGUAACAGGGGAACAGGACACUGCAGGGGUUAAAUUUGCAAAUACACCAGUAAAACUCCGAAGUAUCAGGAUCAGUGUUCUUCUAAACUCUGACUUCAGCUAGAGUGGUAUCUUGAACAUGGGAGGUGCAAUAAAUUGGGAACAAAUAAACGUGUUUCUGUGUU